UACGGAGGAUGCAAGCGUUAUCCGGAUUCAUUGGGUUUAAAGGGUGCGUAGGCGGGAUAAUAAGUCAGUGGUGAAAGCCUACAGCUUAACUGUAGAAUUGCCAUUGAUACUGUUAUUCUUGAGUGCAGUUGAGGUAGCUGGAAUGUGUGGUGUAGCGGUGAAAUGCUUAGAUAUCACACAGAACACCGAUUGCGAAGGCAGGUUACUAAACUGCAACUGACGCUGAGGCACGAAAGCGUGGGGAGCAAACAGG
Molecule: ribosomal RNA, 253 nt
Filed under: uncultured bacterium
Lineage: Bacteria
Description: partial 16S ribosomal RNA
Rfam family: Bacterial small subunit ribosomal RNA
Source: RNAcentral